GAACGCGAAAAUCCCUUCGGGGGUGAGUAGAGUGGCGUCCGGGUGAGUAACACGUAGGUAAUCUGCCUCCGGGUGGGGAAUAAAUCGCCGAAAGGCGAGCUAAUACAGUAUAAUGUAGCGGCACCUGAUGGUGAUUAGUUGUUAAAGCGGGGGAUCUCAAGACUUCGAGCCUGGAGAGGAGCAUGCGGCUGAUUAGCUAGUUGGUGAGGUAAUGGCUCACCAAGGUUAUGAUCGUUAGCUGGUAUGAGAGGACGGCCAGCCACACUGGCAUUGACAUACGGGCCAGACUACAUACGGGAGGCAGUCAGUGGGGAAUUUUGGGCAAUGGGCGAAAGCCUGACCCAGCUACGCCGCGUGAGGGAGGAAAUCCUUCGGGAUGUAAACAUAGCAAGCAGGGGAAGAGUAUCCUACCGGUAUAAGAUGCCGGAGGUUAGACGGGACCCUGCGGAAGCCACGGCUAACGACGUUG
Molecule: ribosomal RNA, 469 nt
Filed under: uncultured bacterium
Lineage: Bacteria
Description: bacterial SSU rRNA
Rfam family: Bacterial small subunit ribosomal RNA
Source: RNAcentral